UUACGGCCACAUCACAGUGAAACACCCGUUACCGUACGAUCACCAAAGUUAAGCAACGUCGAGAAUGGGCAGUACCUAGAUGGGUGACCACUUUUAAGUAGAACGU
This is a non-coding RNA of Acanthosepion pharaonis, 106 nucleotides long. The record is from the annotation of a GenBank genome assembly. Lineage: Eukaryota; Metazoa; Mollusca; Cephalopoda; Sepiida; Sepiidae.